RNAcentral lists this ribosomal RNA (450 nucleotides) under uncultured bacterium. Its description in RNAcentral is "partial 16S ribosomal RNA". It matches the Rfam family "Bacterial small subunit ribosomal RNA", at positions 338 to 795 of the family's 1533-position model. The record is from RNAcentral.
CCUACGUGUGGCUGCAGUGGGGAAUAUUGGACAAUGGGGGCAACCCUGAUCCAGCCAUGCCGCGUGUGUGAAGAAGGCCUUCGGGUUGUAAAGCACUUUUGUUGGGGAAGAAACCGGCCGGGUUAAUACCCUGGUUGAAUGACGGUACCCAAAGAAUAAGCACCGGCUAACUUCGUGCCAGCAGCCGCGGUAAUACGAAGGGUGCAAGCGUUACUUGGAAUUACUGGGGGCGGUGCGUUAGGAGGCGGGUGAAAGCCCUGGGCUCAACCUGGGAACUGCAGUGGAUACUGGCGAGCUAGAGUGUGUCAGAGGAUGGUGGAAUUCCCGGUGUAGCGGUGAAAUGCGUAGAGAUCGGGAGGAACACCAGUGGCGAAGGCGGCCAUCUGGGACAACACUGACGCUGAGGCACGAAAGCGUGGGGAGCAAACAGGAUUAGAUACCCCAGUAGUC